GGCGGACGGGUGAGUAACGCGUGGGAAUCUACCUAGUAGUGGAGGAUAACUCGGGGAAACUCGAGCUAAUACUGCAUACGCCCUACGGGGGAAAGCGGGGGAUCUUCGGACCUCGCGCUAUUGGAUGAGCCCGCGUUAGAUUAGCUUGUUGGUGAGGUAAUGGCUCACCAAGGCGACGAUCUAUAGCUGGUCUGAGAGGAUGAUCA
Molecule: ribosomal RNA, 206 nt
Filed under: Oxyrrhis marina
Lineage: Eukaryota; Dinophyceae; Oxyrrhinales; Oxyrrhinaceae
Description: partial Bacterial small subunit ribosomal RNA
Rfam family: Bacterial small subunit ribosomal RNA
Source: RNAcentral